RNAcentral lists this non-coding RNA (120 nucleotides) under Drosophila pseudoobscura. RNAcentral describes it as "microRNA dps-mir-2568b precursor". The stretch from base 13 to 100 matches the Rfam family "mir-2568 microRNA precursor family". Lineage: Eukaryota; Metazoa; Arthropoda; Insecta; Diptera; Drosophilidae. The record is from miRBase by way of RNAcentral. RNAcentral also lists the same sequence under 1 other name.
GGUUUUUCGUCGGGAGUUCCAUCGCCGCAAACUUCCUCGGGUCAUGGCUGUACUUUUUCAAAACCCCAUGGCCCGAGGAUGUUGCCUGUGAUCCAGCUCAAAAUCAAAACGAUGUGAAUA